This 253-nucleotide ribosomal RNA is filed under the name uncultured bacterium. RNAcentral's name for it is "partial 16S ribosomal RNA". It matches the Rfam family "Bacterial small subunit ribosomal RNA", at positions 524 to 776 of the family's 1533-position model. The record is from RNAcentral.
UACGUAGGGGGCAAGCGUUGUCCGGAAUCAUUGGGCGUAAAGAGCGUGUAGGCGGCUCGAUAAGUCCGCUGUGAAAGUCCAGGGCUCAACCCUGGAAGGCCGGUGGAAACUGUCGGGCUAGAGUCCGGAAGAGGCGAGUGGAAUUCCCGGUGUAGCGGUGAAAUGCGCAGAUAUCGGGAGGAACACCAAUGGCGAAGGCAGCUCGCUGGGACGGUACUGACGCUGAGAUGCGAAAGCGUGGGGAGCAAACAGG